UAACUAUAACGGUCCUAAGGUAGCAAAUUUCCUUGUCGUCUUAAUAACGACCUGCAUGAAACAUAGAACGAUUUGAUAGCUGUCUUGCACACACAUCAUGGUAAAAUAUUCAUCAGUACAAAUAAUAUGCUGCUGACACUAAAGGACAAAAAGACCCUUUGAAGCUUUAUAGGGAUAAAACUCAGCUUUAAAUUAAUUUACCAGAGUGAAGCUACUCUACGGAUAACAGGCUUAAUUUCCGCAAUAUCCAAGGUCACAUUAUCAAGAAUAAAGCACCUCGAUGUCGGCUUAUCUCAACCAAGGUAAGUAGCCCAAAUAUUGGUGGGAGUGCUCAUCCCGUAAAAAGGUACGUGAGCUGGGUUCAAUACG
This 369-nucleotide ribosomal RNA is filed under the name Symbiodinium sp. clade B. RNAcentral's name for it is "partial 23S ribosomal RNA". It matches the Rfam family "Bacterial large subunit ribosomal RNA", at positions 1937 to 2618 of the family's 2925-position model. The record is from RNAcentral. Lineage: Eukaryota; Dinophyceae; Suessiales; Symbiodiniaceae.